Long non-coding RNA from Nymphaea colorata (pocket water lily), 2269 nucleotides. RefSeq lists it as uncharacterized. The record is from RefSeq and is a predicted model, not a curated record. NCBI's taxonomy places the organism in Eukaryota, Viridiplantae, Streptophyta, Magnoliopsida, Nymphaeales, Nymphaeaceae. The transcript is spliced from 2 exons.
CUCUCUCCCUUUCUCCAAUGGUCCAUGACAUUGGCUUUGUGAUCUCUUAAAUAUGUCCUCGGUUUUUCUAUUCGAUCUGAUCCUAAGAAUGUUCCCAAAUAGUUCUUCCUCUUUCUCUUUUUCACAUUUGUAGCAUUUGCUUGCAGCAAAUGGCGUCGGUUUUUCUGUUCAAUUUUUAGUAUGACAGUCGAAGCAUCAAUCAGUUACUCUAUUAAUGCUUCCCUUGUUUCUGUCUCCAAAGCAUUGUAUCUUUUAUGGUGAGCUCUUGUAUGUUCUCAUAUUUUUUUUUUCUGAAAACUGUUCUGCACAUGAAGAAACUGAUCCUUCUAAAAUACCAACCACCUGUAACUUGGGGAGGGCAAUGACUUGGUUCUGCUUGGCUGCCAACCAGGAGAUUCCUUGGUAUUUUACUUCUCUGGUCGUGGUUCACAAAUCUGUGAUAUUGAUGGUGAUGAGGUUGAUGGAUACGAUGAAACAAUGUAUGCUAUGGACAUAAACAGAAGCAAUGCUUGUUGAUGAUGAACUCAAUGCAACUCUUGCCAUACCGCUUCCUUGUGGCGCCAGGCUUCCUGCAAUUGUCGAUUGUUGUCACAGUGGCACGGUCUUGGACUUGCCUUUCGUUUGUAGGAUGGGUAGGUCAGUCUGAAUGGUCUAUAGAUAUUUUACCUUUUCUUUUCAGUGAAUCUGAAGCUAUACCUAUCGAGAGACUUGUUCGAGUGUUUCAUCUCAUGAAUUAUCUAUUAAUUACAUUCCAUCAGUCUGCAUUUCAUGCUCUUUGAAAAACAGUAUCCUACUUAUGGUUCAAAGCCAGUCCAAAGUUUUCUGCUCCUGACAGUAAUAACAGUUAAACAUCAAAUUUUUGAAAUAAUAAUAGACUAUACCGUAUCUGUUAUUAUGGUUUUGGUUAUGGACAUCUGGUAGAUGCAGAAAUAUUGUGUCUUUCCAUGUCUUAGAUCUUGAUUGAGUUUCCCAUGGUUCAUUCUCUAUGAGGUGCUACUUCUUAUUUCUGGUGUAAAUUUAAUUGCUUGCCUAACGAACUGGAAAAUAGAAUAAAUAUGAAAAAAAAUCAUCUGCACGGUUCUCACACGGAAACAUCAACUAUGCAAAGGAAGCAAGGAUUUUCAGUUCAUUGCAUUUGUGGCCCUUCUCUGGAUUUUACUUGUACAAUAUCUCUUUAUUCAGUUUCUGUGUGACAUGGGCGGAAGAGAGAGAUUGUCUGGCUGGUGUGGGCAGUUCGUAGACACAGCAGAUCAUCUUUUGAUCAGACUAUGAUCAAAUUAAGUUCGAUCCAAAAUUGAUACUUUUUCCUUUAUUUUGUCAUUGUUGUAACUUUAAUUUAAUAAUAUUACAUGUAUCGGUUAUUGAACUCAAAUGCUUGUGUGUGUUGGGGGAGUGGAGGAGAGAUAGCCUAAUUAUCCGACCGUAUAUUUUCUAUUUGAUUUACCAUCAUGCAGGAGGCAGAUUUUUGCCCAUAAAUUGCAGAAUUUGCUUGUUUUAUUUGCAGGUCAUGUUUUUAUAGUGUGUCCAAAUAUGCUUGACUAGACCUUAGGUAUUUGAAUUUUUCCACGAAAAGCUUUGUGUUCCAGGUGUUAGCUGCAGCUUAUGUCAAAACCUUUUAGAGGUUUCUGCUGGAUCAAUGAAUUAUCAAGUGUCAGCAGCCUUACUUGCAUGAUUACAAGAAUGGACGGUACCGAUGGGAGGACCAUAAUCUCCCAUCAGGUAUCUGGAAAGGAACAAAUGGUGGUGAGGUUAUUAUUUCAAUUAGUGGCUGUGAUGAUCAUCAGAACUCUGCAGAUACUUUCGUAGGCGACGAUGGAAGUCUUCAUGGUUCAGGCCAGAGCAAUCCCCGACUUGGUCCUUUGCCUCUCACUGUCGUCUUCCUCAGUUUCUUUCUCCUGCUCUCAUUUGUGCGACAUCGUCUGUGAUUUGCCGAUGACAGCCCCUCUCUCACCUUCAGAAGUGCAGCACAGCAGCAAUGAGGCGACUAGAAUGACAAGGAGUGAAGGUGGUUAAUGAAGCUUGAAAGACACUGUUUUUUUUUUCUGUUUUCUAGUUUGAUUUUUUUUUUUGUUUUCCUUAGAUUUCAGCUGUCACCGUCCCUGCAAAAUAGUGCAUACCUGUAUCAAACGAAAAAGAAAGAAAAAGCACUUAUAGGCAGCUGUAAUUCAGAAGCAGAUAGUUGUAUUUAGCCCUUUUCCUGUCAAAUAUUGAUAUAUGAGCAUAAAAAUGGAACAGUAAAUUAGCCUUUACCGUCGAUUUUCUUAGACAA